Molecule: ribosomal RNA, 330 nt
Filed under: Salmonella enterica
Lineage: Bacteria; Pseudomonadati; Pseudomonadota; Gammaproteobacteria; Enterobacterales; Enterobacteriaceae
Description: bacterial SSU rRNA
Rfam family: Bacterial small subunit ribosomal RNA
Source: RNAcentral
AAAUUGAAGAGUUUGAUCAUGGCUCAGAUUGAACGCUGGCGGCAGGCCUAACACAUGCAAGUCGAACGGUAACAGGAAGCAGCUUGCUGCUUCGCUGACGAGUGGCGGACGGGUGAGUAAUGUCUGGGAAACUGCCUGAUGGAGGGGGAUAACUACUGGAAACGGUGGCUAAUACCGCAUAACGUCGCAAGACCAAAGAGGGGGACCUUCGGGCCUCUUGCCAUCAGAUGUGCCCAGAUGGGAUUAGCUAGUUGGUGAGGUAACGGCUCACCAAGGCGACGAUCCCUAGCUGGUCUGAGAGGAUGACCAGCCACACUGGAACUGAGACAC